UACGUAGGGCGCAAGCGUUAUCCGGAAUUAUUGGGCGUAAAGAGCUCGUAGGCGGUCUGUUGCGUCGGCUGUGAAAACCCGGGGCUCAACUCCGGGCCUGCAGCCGAUACGGGCAGACUAGAGUUCGGCAGGGGAGACUGGAAUUCCUGGUGUAGCGGUGAAAUGCGCAGAUAUCAGGAGGAACACCGGUGGCGAAGGCGGGUCUCUGGGCAGUAACUGACGCUGAGGAGCGAAAGCGUGGGGAGCGAACAGG
This 253-nucleotide ribosomal RNA is filed under the name uncultured bacterium. RNAcentral describes it as "partial 16S ribosomal RNA". It matches the Rfam family "Bacterial small subunit ribosomal RNA", at positions 524 to 776 of the family's 1533-position model. The record is from RNAcentral.